GUGAAUCAUCGAAUCUUUGAACGCAAAUUGCACUCUCUGGUAUUCCGGAGAGUAUGCCUGUUUGAGGGUCAGUUGAAAUAAAAAUCGUUGUGGGUGCUGCCUUGUUUGGUUACGCAUCGUAUUUGGGUCGUCUUGCCUUCGGUUAAGUUUCCUAAAAUGUUGCAUGAUUUUGUUCGAACGUAUAUAAAUGAUUUUACGUACGUUAGCGAUAGCGAAUA
RNAcentral lists this unclassified non-coding RNA (218 nucleotides) under Glomus sp. Its description in RNAcentral is "partial contains 5.8S ribosomal RNA and internal transcribed spacer 2". The stretch from base 1 to 71 matches the Rfam family "5.8S ribosomal RNA", at positions 84 to 154 of the family's 154-position model. The record is from RNAcentral. Lineage: Eukaryota; Fungi; Glomeromycota; Glomeromycetes; Glomerales; Glomeraceae.